GUGGAGAAGGACAGAGAGGCAGACAGACAAGGAGAGGAACAGACAGACAAGGAGAAAGACAGAUAGAAAAGGAGAGGGACAGAAAGACAGACCGACAUCGAGAGGUACAGACAGACAGACAGACAAGGAGAUGGACAGAAAGACAGACAAGGAGAGAGACAGACAAGGAGAGGGACAGACAGACAAGGGAGGGAACAGACAGACAGACAAGGA
Pelobates cultripes (western spadefoot toad) is the source of this 213-nucleotide non-coding RNA. The record is from the annotation of a GenBank genome assembly. NCBI's taxonomy places the organism in Eukaryota, Metazoa, Chordata, Amphibia, Anura, Pelobatidae.